UAAAAGCCCCUCUAGCAUGAGACAAUAAGGUGAACCGAUGGCUCCUCAUUCCACUCCCUGAAUGCAGCUAAUUUUUCAUCUGCAGGCAGGCAGUUUUGCAAACAAGGCUCUGAACUUGAAGCUCAGAGGGUGAGCGAGGCCUCGUGCCCCCAGGGCCUCUGCUUGCUCCAUGUUGGUGCCCCAACGUCCAGGGAUGCAAAGCACAGAGGACCCUUAGAGGCCACACCUGGAAGUGCUCAUUCAAUGGACCGAGGGAUGAAAGUGAGGAGAGCGUUAGGGGAGCUGUGCACAGUAAGUAGGGGCUGGAAUGGGAUGUGACCCAGGACAUCCUGGUUAGAUUUGGCCAGGAGAGCUGUGAAAAUAGGGGAAGCUGGUCCCCAAACCCCACACCCUUUUAAAAAAUCAAUCCUGGUGGGCGCAGUGGCAGAAGGACCUGAGUUUGUUACAAAGACCUCAGCAAUCCUCUCCCUCUCCUGACCUGUAAACACCAAGAGCCGGAGACAAUGCAAGUGUCAGACGCUUCUCCACCCGCAAUGAGGCCUGGGAAGCCCAAGUUGAUUGGCUUUCUUUCCAGGAAGGCAGAGCCCAGACGCACUUCAAGAGUCACCUGUUGCCUAUUACAAUGAAGUUAGAUGUCUCCUGACCUCAGCCCAUCCCCUGUUGGAUAAAAAGUUUCUGCUUCAGUCUUGCUGUCCACGCCCGUGGAAGAAACUACAAUAGGGGAUUUACUCUCCUGGCCCAAAUCAGGUCGAGCUUCUGGGCCUCCCUACUCCAUGCUGGGGGAUACUGGACAUUCAGAGUGCCUUUCUGUCAGCCCCGCAACACAGCCCCACUGGGGUGGCUGACUGUGCUGACCUUGUGUCUCUGAGCUCAAUUUCAACUGGGGUGUAUCUGAGGGUUAGUCUUCAGAGAACUUGGAAUGAGGUAAGACUUUCCUAGUUCCAUGUAGG
This 950-nucleotide long non-coding RNA is filed under the name Homo sapiens (human). RNAcentral's name for it is "HSALNT0162039". Lineage: Eukaryota; Metazoa; Chordata; Mammalia; Primates; Hominidae. The record is from RNAcentral.